CGGAGAUCUAGCAGGGUUGUCAACAUGAAAUGCUACGUUUUAAUAGGCCUUGUCUGCUUUCUUCUUCUCAUUGAAAAGCGAGUAGGACAACCCAAUGAACAUGUGAAAGAAUAUCGGCUACAAUCUUAAUACAAUGCAGAAGAACCCCAUGUACUUGUUGAAGAAAGAAGCGGGCACAGAAGGCGAUACGACUGCAAAGCGAAGGGAGGACGCUGCAAGAUAAAUCCAAGAUGUGGUAAAAGGCGACCUAUAAACGGCACAUGCGCUCCCAACAGAACUUGCUGCAGUUGGCCAUAAUGACGCCGCAUAGCGACUUCCUAA
This is a non-coding RNA of Dermacentor albipictus, 321 nucleotides long. The record is from RefSeq and is a predicted model, not a curated record. Lineage: Eukaryota; Metazoa; Arthropoda; Arachnida; Ixodida; Ixodidae.